This 584-nucleotide ribosomal RNA is filed under the name Pseudomonas syringae pv. syringae. RNAcentral describes it as "bacterial SSU rRNA". It matches the Rfam family "Bacterial small subunit ribosomal RNA", at positions 76 to 655 of the family's 1533-position model. The record is from RNAcentral. Lineage: Bacteria; Pseudomonadati; Pseudomonadota; Gammaproteobacteria; Pseudomonadales; Pseudomonadaceae.
GUACUUGUACCUGGUGGCGAGCGGCGGACGGGUGAGUAAUGCCUAGGAAUCUGCCUGGUGGUGGGGGAUAACGCUCGGAAACGGACGCUAAUACCGCAUACGUCCUACGGGAGAAAGCAGGGGACCUUCGGGCCUUGCGCUAUCAUAUGAGCCUAGGUCGGAUUAGCUAGUUGGUGAGGUAAUGGCUCACCAGGGCGACGAUCCGUAACUGGUCUGAGAGGAUGAUCAGUCACACUGGAACUGAGACACGGUCCAGACUCCUACGGGAGGCAGCAGUGGGGAAUAUUGGACAAUGGGCGAAAGCCUGAUCCAGCCAUGCCGCGUGUGUGAAGAAGGUCUUCGGAUUGUAAAGCACUUUAAGUUGGGAGGAAGGGCAGUUACCUAAUACGUGAUUGUUUUGACGUUACCGACAGAAUAAGCACCGGCUAACUCUGUGCCAGCAGCCGCGGUAAUACAGAGGGUGCAAGCGUUAAUCGGAAUUACUGGGCGUAAAGCGCGCGUAGGUGGUUUGUUAAGUUGAAUGUGAAAUCCCCGGGCUCAACCUGGGAACUGCAUCCAAAACUGGCAAGCUAGAGUAUGGUAGA